AAAGGAAUUGACGGGGGCUCACACAAGCGGUGGAGCAUGUUGCUUAAUUCGAGGCAACGCGAAGAACCUUACCUGGGCUUGACAUGUAUGGAUUAGCUUCUGGAAACAGGAGUGACACCCUUGGGUGGAACAUACACAGGUGCUGCAUGGCUGUCGUCAGCUCGUGCUGUGAAGUGUCGGGUUAAGUCCCUUAACGAGCGCAACCCCUAUCGUUAGUUACUAACGCGUUAUGGCGAGGACUCUAGCGAGACUGCCGGUGUCAAACCGGAGGAAGGUGGGGAUGACGUCAAGUCCUCAUGGCCCUUACGCCCAGGGAUGCAAACGUGCUACAAUGGUACGGACAAAGCGAUGCAAUGCCGCGAGGUGGAGCAAAUCGCAAAAACCGUGCCCCAGUUCGGAUAGCAGGCUGAAAUUCGCCUGCUUGAAGCCGGAAUCGCUAGUAAUCGCGUAUCAGCUACGACGCGGUGAAUACGUUCCUGAGCCUUGUACACACCGCCCGU
Molecule: ribosomal RNA, 500 nt
Filed under: uncultured bacterium
Lineage: Bacteria
Description: bacterial SSU rRNA
Rfam family: Bacterial small subunit ribosomal RNA
Source: RNAcentral